This 253-nucleotide ribosomal RNA is filed under the name uncultured bacterium. RNAcentral's name for it is "partial 16S ribosomal RNA". It matches the Rfam family "Bacterial small subunit ribosomal RNA", at positions 524 to 776 of the family's 1533-position model. The record is from RNAcentral.
UACGUAGGUGGCAAGCGUUGUCCGGAUUUAUUGGGUUUAAAGGGUGCGUAGGUGGGCAGGUAAGUCAGUGGUGAAAUCUCCGGGCUUAACCCGGAAACUGCCAUUGAUACUAUCAGUCUUGAAUACCGUGGAGGUAAGCGGAAUAUGUCAUGUAGCGGUGAAAUGCUUAGAUAUGACAUAGAACACCAAUUGCGAAGGCAGCUUACUACCCGAAUAUUGACACUGAGGCACGAAAGCGUGGGGAUCAAACAGG